UCACAGAACAGAGAACAGAAACUGGAAAGGC
This 31-nucleotide non-coding RNA is filed under the name Homo sapiens (human). The record is from RNAcentral. Lineage: Eukaryota; Metazoa; Chordata; Mammalia; Primates; Hominidae.